Molecule: long non-coding RNA, 1242 nt
Filed under: Cyanistes caeruleus (blue tit)
Lineage: Eukaryota; Metazoa; Chordata; Aves; Passeriformes; Paridae
Description: lncRNA (ENSCCEG00000003653.1)
Source: RNAcentral
UCCGCUGCCAUUUUCCCCGGCAGUGCUAUAAAUAUUCAACAGGAGGAGGAACGGCGGCUCCUGGAGCUCCAGCUCCUUUGCUCCGGGCUGGGGGACACCGGGGUGACAUCCCCGGCAUGGGGGACACGGCCCCCACCGCAGUUUGAGCUGAAUAUUCCCGGUGAUCUGAGCUGGAGGUGUUUGAGGGCUGAAAGGGGGCGAAUGGAGGUUCUGGAGAGUGUUGGGACAUUUCCCAAAUUUGUGGAGAAGCGGGGGGCAGUGUCAGGAAUGUCGCCCACCCCCCAGGUGGGUGUCAGGCCCUGUGGUGGCCCCAUCCCAGGCAGAGCCCCAGAGUCCUCACAGAGCUCCAAAGGAAAGUAAGAAACCCCAAACCCACCCUACACCCCCGGAGGUUCUGAAUCCUCGUUCAGACCCCGGCCAGGGACCCCGCGAGCGGCAGCGCCACCUCCACGGCCACCAAAGGGGUGUCCCGAGGGUCCUGGUCGCCGCUUUUGGGAUCUCCCACGAGUCGCGAGGUGCGGCUGACACGGGGCACGCCAGGACCUGCAGCCCCACGAGAGGCGUGGGCAGCCGGGGGGAGGGAACGGGCGAGUUUCGGUGUCCCGUCCCCUCCCCGCGGGGACAACGUGCACCGGGACAGCUCCAGGCUUCCUCCCGCCGUGACCUCCAGCCUUUCCUCCGCUCUUCCUUGGCUUUUCCGCCGAGCCCGGAGCCGGGGCUGCCUUCCUGCCCCGGCCCCGCUUCCUGCCCUCCGAGCUCGGCGCUCCCGGCUUUCCCAGCUCCAUCCAUCCAUCCUCCCCGGGGCUCCUUCCCGAGCUUUCUCACAGGGGGACCCGGCCUCCUGAGCCCUUCCCGAGCCUCCGGUCCCCAGAGCUCCUCGUGGGACCCGUCCCCGACGCCGCUCGGGGGGCUCCAGGGGUCCCCGUUCCAUCCUCAGCUUCCUCCCAGCUCUGCGGAACAAACACCGAACGGAGCAAAUCUGUCCCCGGGCUCACCCCAGGGAGCGGCGAUUCCCCGAUUCCAAUCACUUUUGGGGAUCUGCGGCUGACCCAGUUUAUAAUCCACGGCUCAGGGCGGCGGGGAUCACACGCAGGACGCUGGGAAGGAGCGGGAGCUUUCCCGGAGCGCCCACACCCCCCCAGCCCGUGGUUUUUUGGGGAACUGAGAGUCCCGGGGCUGCUCCCGGCUCGGGGGUGCUGCUGAGGGCAGGACAUUCCCACGCUCAGCCCGAGGGUGUCCCCC